AAGUCGUAACAAGGUUUCCGUAGGUGAACCUGCGGAAGGAUCAUUACCGAGUGCGGGCCCUCUGGGUCCAACCUCCCAUCCGUGUCUCUUGUACCCUGUUGCUUCGGCGGGCCCGCCUUCAUGGCCGCCGGGGGGCUUCUGCCCCCGGGCCCGCGCCCGCCGGAGACUCCAACAUUGAACACUGUCUGAAGGUUGCAGUCUGAGUUUUCAUAUAAGAAAAAUCGUUAAAACUUUCAACAACGGAUCUCUUGGUUCCG
RNAcentral lists this unclassified non-coding RNA (257 nucleotides) under air metagenome. RNAcentral's name for it is "partial contains small subunit ribosomal RNA, internal transcribed spacer 1, and 5.8S ribosomal RNA". The stretch from base 1 to 46 matches the Rfam family "Eukaryotic small subunit ribosomal RNA", at positions 1786 to 1831 of the family's 1831-position model. The record is from RNAcentral.